Molecule: ribosomal RNA, 426 nt
Filed under: Megaselia sp. 13 SH-2017
Lineage: Eukaryota; Metazoa; Arthropoda; Insecta; Diptera; Phoridae
Description: partial 16S ribosomal RNA
Source: RNAcentral
UUUUAGAAAUUAAUUUAAAGUCUAACCUGCCCACUGAAAAUUUUUAAAUGGCCGCAGUAUUCUAACUGUGCAAAGGUAGCAUAAUCAUUAGUCUUUUAAUUGAAGGCUGGAAUGAAUGGUUGAAUGAAAUAUUAACUGUUUCAUUAAAAUUUAUAAUAGAAUUUUAUUUUUUAGUCAAAAAGCUAAAAUAUAAUUAAAAGACGAGAAGACCCUAUAAAUCUUUAUAUUUAAAUAAUUUUAAUUAUUAAGAUAAAUUAAAUUAUCAUUAUUUUAAAUAUUUUAUUGGGGUGAUAUUAAAAUUUAAUAAACUUUUAAUUUAUUAUUUACAUAAAUUAAUGAAUUAUUGAUCCAUUAAUAAUGAUUAAAAAAUUAAGUUACUUUAGGGAUAACAGCGUAAUUUUUUUAGAAAGUUCACAUUGAUAAAAA